This 169-nucleotide ribosomal RNA is filed under the name uncultured archaeon. Its description in RNAcentral is "partial 16S ribosomal RNA". It matches the Rfam family "Bacterial small subunit ribosomal RNA", at positions 338 to 524 of the family's 1533-position model. The record is from RNAcentral.
CCUACGGGAGGCAGCAGUGGGGAAUCUUGCGCAAUGGGCGAAAGCCUGACGCAGCGACGCCGCGUGAGUGAGGAAGGCCUUCGGGUCGCAAAGCUCGAUAGUGUGGGAAGAAGGGAUGACGGUACCACACGAAAGCCCCGGCUAACUACGUGCCAGCAGCCGCGGUAAU